RNAcentral lists this ribosomal RNA (443 nucleotides) under uncultured bacterium. RNAcentral's name for it is "partial 16S ribosomal RNA". It matches the Rfam family "Bacterial small subunit ribosomal RNA", at positions 338 to 795 of the family's 1533-position model. The record is from RNAcentral.
CCUACGGGAGGCAGCAGUGGGGGAUAUUGCACAAUGGGGGAAACCCUGAUGCAGCGACGCCGCGUGGGCGAAGAAGUAUUUCGGUAUGUAAAGCCCUAUCAGCAGGGAAGAAGAACUGACGGUACCUGAGUAAGAAGCAACGGCUAAAUACGUGCCAGCAGCGGCGGUAAGACGUAUGGUGCAAGCGUUAUCCGUAUUUACUGGGUGUAAGGGGAGCGCAGGCGGCACGGCAAGCCUGAUGUGAACGCCCGCGGCCCAACCGCGGGACUGCAUUGGGAACUACCGGGCUGGAGUGCCGGAGAGGUAGGCGGAAUUCCUAGUGUAGCGGUGAAAUGCGUAGAUAUUAGGAGGAACACCAGUGGCGAAGGCGGCCUACUGGACGGUGACUGACGCUGCGGCUCGAAAGCGUGGGGAGCAAACAGGAUUAGAUACCCCGAGUAGUC